GGCCCAGUCCUUCCUGCNGUGAGGUCACAGCCCUGUCUUUGUGACACUGCUGUCUGUUGCCAUGGAAGUGNUUGUGCUUUCACCAAAUCAGCACAGCAAUGACUCCACAAGCAAGGUCAUGGAGGAGCAGAUGGGAGGAGGGGGGGA
Amazona aestiva (blue-fronted amazon) is the source of this 147-nucleotide long non-coding RNA. It matches the Rfam family "Non-coding RNA BC040587". From Rfam's summary of the family: Deletion of this gene is associated with poor survival of osteosarcoma patients. The record is from Rfam. NCBI's taxonomy places the organism in Eukaryota, Metazoa, Chordata, Aves, Psittaciformes, Psittacidae.